GACGAACGCUGGCGGCGUGCUUAACACAUGCAAGUCGAACGAAAAGAGGGAAAGAGCUUGCUCUUUCCGGAAUUGAGUGGCAAACGGGUGAGUAACACGUAAACAACCUGCCUUCAGGAUGGGGACAACAGACGGAAACGACUGCUAAUACCGAAUAAGUUCCAAGAGCCGCAUGGCCCAUGGAAGAAAAGGUGGCCUCUACCUGUAAGCUAUCGCCUGAAGAGGGGUUUGCGUCUGAUUAGCUGGUUGGAGGGGUAACGGCCCACCAAGGCGACGAUCAGUAGCCGGUCUGAGAGGAUGAACGGCCACACUGGAACUGAGACACGGUCCAGACUCCUACGGGAGGCAGCAGUGGGGAAUCUUCCGCAAUGGGCGAAAGCCUGACGGAGCAACGCCGCGUGAGUGAUGACGGCCUUCGGGUUGUAAAACUCUGUGAUCCGGGACGAAAAGGCAGAGUGCGAAGAUCAAACUGCAUUGACGGUACCGGAAAAGCAAGCCACGGCUAACUACGUG
This 513-nucleotide ribosomal RNA is filed under the name uncultured bacterium. Its description in RNAcentral is "partial 16S ribosomal RNA". It matches the Rfam family "Bacterial small subunit ribosomal RNA", at positions 28 to 507 of the family's 1533-position model. The record is from RNAcentral.